RNAcentral lists this ribosomal RNA (499 nucleotides) under uncultured Glomeromycotina. RNAcentral describes it as "partial small subunit ribosomal RNA". It matches the Rfam family "Eukaryotic small subunit ribosomal RNA", at positions 591 to 1092 of the family's 1831-position model. Lineage: Eukaryota; Fungi; Glomeromycota. The record is from RNAcentral.
CCAAUAGCGUAUAUUAAAGUUGUUGCAGUUAAAAAGCUCGUAGUUGAAUUUCGGGAUCAGUAUGUCGGUCGUGCUUCGGUACGUACUGUCAUUACUGGUUUCUCCCUUCUGAAGAACCAUGAUGUCAUUAAUUUGGUGUCGUGGGAAAUCAGGACUGUUACUUUGAAAAAAUUAGAGUGUUUAAAGCAGGCAUACGCUUGAAUACAUUAGCAUGGAAUAAUGAAAUAGGACGUUUGAUUCUAUUUUGUUGGUUUCUAGGAUCGACGUAAUGGUUAAUAGGGAUAGUUGGGGGCAUUAGUAUUCAAUUGUCAGAGGUGAAAUUCUUGGAUUUAUUGAAGACUAACUACUGCGAAAGCAUUUGCCAAGGAUGUUUUCAGUAAUCAAGAACGAAAGUUAGGGGAUCGAAGACGAUCAGAUACCGUCGUAGUCUUAACCAUAAACUAUGCCGACUAGGGAUCGGAUGAUGUUAAUUUUUUAAUGACUCAUUCGGCGCCUUACG